GACGUAGGGUCCAAGCGUUGUCCGGAUUUACUGGGCGUAAAGAGCGCGUAGGCGGCUCGUUAAGUGUGAAGUGAAAUCUCCAGGGCUCAACCCGGAAACUGCUUCGCAUACUGGCGAGCUGGAGUGAUGCAGAGGUUUGUGGAAUUCCUGGUGUAACGGUGAAAUGUGUUGAUAUCAGGAGGAACACCCAUGGCGAAGGCAGCAAACUGGGCAUCAACUGACGCUGAGGCGCGAAAGCGUGGGUAGCAAACAGG
This 254-nucleotide ribosomal RNA is filed under the name uncultured bacterium. RNAcentral describes it as "partial 16S ribosomal RNA". It matches the Rfam family "Bacterial small subunit ribosomal RNA", at positions 524 to 776 of the family's 1533-position model. The record is from RNAcentral.